RNAcentral lists this ribosomal RNA (1341 nucleotides) under metagenome. RNAcentral describes it as "bacterial LSU rRNA". It matches the Rfam family "Bacterial large subunit ribosomal RNA", at positions 1564 to 2910 of the family's 2925-position model. The record is from RNAcentral.
CGAGUCCGAGUCUCCACGGAGACGAAGUGGCGGUCAUCCAGCUUCCUAGAAAAGCUCUAACCACGUUAAUCUUUAGUUGCCUGUACCCGAAACCGACACAGGUAGGGGGGUAGAGAAUACCAAGGGGCGCGAGAUAACUCUCUCUAAGGAACUCGGCAAAAUGACCCCGUAACUUCGGGAGAAGGGGUACCACUGAGAAGUGGUCGCAGUGAAGAGGCCCAGGCGACUGUUUACCAAAAACACAGGUCUCCGCCAAGUCGCAAGACGAAGUAUGGGGGCUGACGCCUGCCCAGUGCCGGAAGGUUAAGGAAGUGGGUUAGGGAUUCGUCCCGAAGCUGACGACUGAAGCCCCGGUGAACGGCGGCCGUAACUAUAACGGUCCUAAGGUAGCGAAAUUCCUUGUCGGGUAAGUUCCGACCCGCACGAAAGGCGUAACGAUCUGGGCGCUGUCUCGGAGAGAGGCUCGGCGAAAUAGGAAUGUCUGUGAAGAUACGGACUACCUGCACCUGGACAGAAAGACCCUAUGAAGCUUUACUGUAGCUUGGAAUUGGGUUCGGGCUUGGUUUGCGCAGGAUAGGUGGGAGGCGAAGAAGAUUUGCUUGUGGGUGAAUCUGAGCCAACGGUGAGAUACCACUCUAACCAGGCUAGAAUUCUAACUUCAACCCGUCAACCGGGGGAAGGACAGUUUCAGGUGGGCAGUUUGACUGGGGCGGUCGCCUCCUAAAAGAUAACGGAGGCGCACAAAGGUUCCCUCAGGCUGGUUGGAAAUCAGCCAACGAGUGCAAAGGCAGAAGGGAGCUUGACUGCGAGACCUACAAGUCAAGCAGGGUGGAAACACGGUCUUAGUGAUCCGACGGCACCGAGUGGAAGGGCCGUCGCUCAACGGAUAAAAGUUACUCUAGGAUAACAGGCUGAUCUCCCCCAAGAGUUCACAUCGACGGGGAGGUUUGGCACCUCGAUGUCGGCUCAUCGCAACCUGGGGCGGAAGUACGUCCCAAGGGUUGGGCUGUUCGCCCAUUAAAGCGGUACGUGAGCUGGGUUCAGAACGUCGUGAGACAGUUCGGUCCAUAUCCGGUGUAGGCGCAAGAACAUUGAGAGGAGUCUUCCUUAGUACGAGAGGACCGGGAAGAACGCACCGCUGGUGUACCUGUUAUCGUGCCAACGGUAAACGCAGGGUAGCCAAGUGCGGAGUGGAUAACCGCUGAAAGCAUCUAAGUGGGAAGCCCACCUCAAGAUGAGUGUUCUCAUGGAGUAAUCCAGUAAGGUCACGGGAAGACGACCCGUUGAUAGGCGGUAGGUGGAAGUUCAGCAAUGGAUGAAGCCGAGCCGUACUAACAGACC